CGAGUAGAGUGGCGAACUGGUGAGUAACAGGUGGGUAAUGUGCCCCUCGGUGUGGGAUAACCACAGGAAACUGUGGCUAAUACCGCAUAUGGCUCAAAAGACGCAGGUUUUUUGGGUUAAAGGCUUUGGUCGCUGAGGGAGCAGCCCGCCCCCGAUUAGCUUGUUGGUAGGGUAACGGCCUACCAAGGCUCCGAUCGGUAGGUGGCCUGAGAGGGUGGUCACUCACACUGGGACUGAGAUACGGCCCAGACUCCUACGGGGGGCAGCAGUCUAGAAGCUUCCACAAUGGACGAAAGUCUGAUGGAGCGACGCCGCGUGUGGGAUGACAGCCGUGAGGUUGUAAAACCACUGUCAGCAGGGAAGAAUGCCACGAUGGUGAAUCGGGGAGAGACGGUACCUGCAGAGGAAGCCCCGGCUAACUCCGUGCCAGCAGCCGCGGUAAUACGGAGGGGGCAAACGUUGUUCGGAUUUACUGGGCGUAAAGGGUGUCUAGGCGGUUCGGUCAGUCUGGUGUGAAAUAUCCUCGCUCAACGAGGGAAAACGCAUUGGAAACUUCCGAGCUCGAGAGUGGAAGAGGCAGGUGGAAUUCCUGGUGUAAGCGGUGGAAUGUGUAGAUAUCAGGAAGAACACUCGUGGCGAAAGGCGGCCUGCUGGUCCAUUUCUGACGCUGAAGCACGAAAAGCCAGGGGAGCGAACCGGGAUUAGAUUACCCCGGUAGUCCUGGCCGUAAACGUUGAACACUAGAUGUCGGGGGUAUCGACCCCCUUCGGUGUCGGAGCUAACGCGUUAAGUGUUCCGCCUGGGGAGUACGACCCGCAAGGGUUGAAACUUCAAAAGGAAAUUGACGGGGGGCCCGCAACAAGCAGGUGGAGGAAUGUUGGUUUUAAUUUCGACGCCAAACGNCGAAGAACCUUACCUGGGCUUAAACCGCAGGGUAAACCCCCUGAAAGGGGGGCUGCUUCGGCAAUCCUGUAGAGGUGUUGCAUGGCUGUCGUCAGCUCGUGUCGUGAGAUGUUGGGUUAAGUCCCGCAACGAGCGCAACCCUUGCUCCUAGUUACCAGCGCGUAAUGGCGGGGACUCUAAGAGGACUGCCCUCGCAAGGGGGAGGAAGGUGGGGAUGACGUCAAGUCCUCAUGGCCCUUAUGUCCAGGGCUACACACGUCCUACAAUGGCCGGUACAAAGGGCUGCGAACUCGCGAGAGUAAGCCAAUCCCAAAAAGCCGGUCCCAGUUCAGAUUGCAGUCUGCAACUCGACUGCAUGAAGGUGGAAUCGCUAGUAAUCGCGGAUCAGCAUGCCGCGGUGAAUACGUUCCCGGGCCUUGACACACCGCCCGUCACAUCACGAAAGU
RNAcentral lists this ribosomal RNA (1349 nucleotides) under uncultured organism. RNAcentral describes it as "bacterial SSU rRNA". It matches the Rfam family "Bacterial small subunit ribosomal RNA", at positions 87 to 1411 of the family's 1533-position model. The record is from RNAcentral.